This 520-nucleotide ribosomal RNA is filed under the name uncultured Glomus. RNAcentral's name for it is "SSU rRNA". It matches the Rfam family "Eukaryotic small subunit ribosomal RNA", at positions 569 to 1092 of the family's 1831-position model. Lineage: Eukaryota; Fungi; Glomeromycota; Glomeromycetes; Glomerales; Glomeraceae. The record is from RNAcentral.
AGCAGCCGCGGUAAUUCCAGCUCCAAUAGCGUAUAUUAAAGUUGUUGCAGUUAAAAAGCUCGUAGUUGAAUUUCGAGAUCGGCUUACUGGUCGUGCUUUUGUACGUACUGGUAAAUCGGUUUCUCCUUUCUGACGAACUUUAAUGCCAUUAAUUUGGUGUUUUAGGGAAUCAGGACUGUUACUUUGAAAAAAUUAGAGUGUUUAAAGCAGGCUCACGCUUGAAUACAUUAGCAUGGAAUAACGGAAUAGGACGUUUGAUUCUAUUUUGUUGGUUUCUAGGAUCGACGUAAUGAUUAAUAGGGAUAGUUGGGGGCAUUAGUAUUCAAUUGUCAGAGGUGAAAUUCUUGGAUUUAUUGAAGACUAACUACUGCGAAAGCAUUUGCCAAGGAUGUUUUCAUUAAUCAAGAACGAAAGUUAGGGGAUCGAAGACGAUCAGAUACCGUCGUAGUCUUAACCAUAAACUAUGCCGACUAGGGAUCGGAUGAUGUUAAUUUUUUGAUGACUCAUUCGGCGCCUUACG